RNAcentral lists this ribosomal RNA (440 nucleotides) under uncultured bacterium. RNAcentral describes it as "partial 16S ribosomal RNA". It matches the Rfam family "Bacterial small subunit ribosomal RNA", at positions 338 to 795 of the family's 1533-position model. The record is from RNAcentral.
CCUACGGGAGGCAGCAGUGGGGAAUAUUGCACAAUGGGGGAAACCCUGAUGCAGCGACGCCGCGUGAGUGACGAAGUAUUUAGGUACGUAAAGCUCUAUCAGCAGGGAAGAAAAUGACGGUACCAGACUAAGAAGCCCCGGCUAACUACGUGCCAGCUGCCGAGGUAAUCAGUAGGGGGCAAGCGUUAUCCGGAUUUACUGGGCGUAAAGGGGGCGUAGCCGGCAGCGGAAGUCCGGAGUGAAAUCCCAGGGCUUAACCAUGGAACUGCUUUGGAAACUGUGCAGCUAGAGUGCUGGAGAGGUAAGCGGAAUUCCUAGUGUAGCGGUGAAAUGCUUAGAUAUUAGGAAGAACACCAGUGGCGAAGGCGGCUUACUGGACUGUAACUGACGUUGAGGCUCGAAAGCGUGGGGAGCGAACAGGAUUAGAUACCCGUGUAGUC